This 419-nucleotide ribosomal RNA is filed under the name uncultured bacterium. RNAcentral describes it as "partial 16S ribosomal RNA". The record is from RNAcentral.
ACGGCAUGGACUACGAGGGUAUCUAAUCCUCUUCGCUACCCAUGCUUUCGCUCCUCAGUGUCAGUAGUGACCCAGUAAGUUGCCUUCGCAUUUGGUGUUCUUUCUAAUAUCUACGAAUUUCACCUCUACACUAGAAAUUCCACUUACCUCUAUCACACUCUAGCUAAAAAGUUUUGAAGGCAGUUCCAAGGUUGAGCCUUGGGAUUUCACCAUCAACUUUUUUAACCACCUACGAGCUCUUUAAGCCCAGUAAUUCCGAACUACGCUAGGUCCCUUCGUAUUACCGCGGCUGCUGGCACGAAGUUAGCCGGACCUUCUUAUUCGGGUACAGUCAUUUUCUUCCCCGACGAAAGAGUUUUACAACCCAAGGGCCUUCUUCACUCACGCGGCAUCGCUGCAUCGGGGUUUCCCCCAUUGUG